CUACGGAGGGUCCGAGCGUUAUCCGGAAUCAUUGGGUUUAAAGGGUCCGUAGGCGGGAAUCUAAGUCAGUGGUGAAAUCUUGCAGCUCAACUGUAAAAUUGCCAUUGAUACUGGAUUUCUUGAAUUAGUGUGAAGUGGUUAGAAUGUGUAGUGUAGCGGUGAAAUGCAUAGAUAUUACACAGAAUACCAAUUGCGAAGGCAGAUCACUAACACUAUAUUGACGCUAAGGGACGAAAGCGUGGGGAGCGAACAGGAUUAGAAACCCGAGUAGUCC
RNAcentral lists this ribosomal RNA (274 nucleotides) under uncultured bacterium. RNAcentral's name for it is "partial 16S ribosomal RNA". It matches the Rfam family "Bacterial small subunit ribosomal RNA", at positions 523 to 796 of the family's 1533-position model. The record is from RNAcentral.